AACGAACGCUGGCGGCAUGCCUAACACAUGCAAGUCGAACGAGACCUUCGGGUCUAGUGGCGCACGGGUGCGUAACGCGUGGGAACCUGCCCUUAGGUUCGGAAUAACUCCCCGAAAGGGGUGCUAAUACCGGAUAAUGUCUUCGGACCAAAGAUUUAUCGCCUUUGGAUGGGCCCGCGUUGGAUUAGCUAGUUGGUAGGGUAAAAGCCUACCAAGGCGACGAUCCAUAGCUGGUCUGAGAGGAUGAUCAGCCACACUGGGACUGAGACACGGCCCAGACUCCUACGGGAGGCAGCAGUGGGGAAUAUUGGAAAAUGGGGGGAAGGCUGAACCAGCAAUGCCGCGUGAGUGAUGAAGGCCGUAGGGUUGUAAAGCUCUUUUACCCGGGAUGAUAAUGACAGUACCGGGAGAAUAAGCUCCGGCUAACUCCGUG
RNAcentral lists this ribosomal RNA (433 nucleotides) under uncultured bacterium. RNAcentral's name for it is "partial 16S ribosomal RNA". It matches the Rfam family "Bacterial small subunit ribosomal RNA", at positions 29 to 507 of the family's 1533-position model. The record is from RNAcentral.